AAUAUGGAAAGCUUAGAUUAGGAAAACCGUCUGGAAAGUCGGGCCAUAGAGGGUGAUAGCCCCGUAUUCGAAAAUCGAAGCAGACCUAGUGGUAUCCUGAGUAGCACGGGACACGUGAAACCCCGUGUGAAUCCAUGCCGACCACGGCAUAAGGCUAAAUACUCGAUGACGACCGACAGUGAACUAGUACCGCGAGGGAAAGGUGAAAAGCACCCCUGUUAGGGGAGUGAAAUAGUAACUGAAAUCAUCUGCUAACAAGUCAGUCGGAGCCCCCUUGUGGGGUGACGGCCUGCCUUUUGUAUAAUGAGUCUGCGAGUUAUUCCCCGUAGCAAGCCUAAGCCGCUCAGCGGCGCAGGCGCAGCGAAAGCGAGUCCGAAUAGGGCGCUUAGUUGCUGGGAAUAGACCCGAAGGGGAGGUGAUCUAACCAUGAGCCAGGAUGAAACUUCAGUAACAUGAAGUGGAGGUCCGAACCGGUCAAUCUUGAGAAAUUGUCGGAUGAGUUGUGGUUAGGAGCGAAAGACUAAUCAAACCCCCUGAUAGCUGGUUCUUUCCGAAAUAUAUUUGGGUAUAGCGUCGGGCGCUGAUUUGCGGAGGUAGAGCACUAAAUAAGCUAGGGCCCCUACCGGGGUACUGAACUUAAUUAAACUCCGAAUACCGCAGAGU
RNAcentral lists this non-coding RNA (663 nucleotides) under Beta vulgaris subsp. vulgaris (sugar beet). RNAcentral describes it as "Bacterial large subunit ribosomal RNA". It matches the Rfam family "Bacterial large subunit ribosomal RNA", at positions 312 to 971 of the family's 2925-position model. Lineage: Eukaryota; Viridiplantae; Streptophyta; Magnoliopsida; Caryophyllales; Amaranthaceae. The record is from Rfam by way of RNAcentral.